UGGGGAAUAUUGCACAAUGGAGGGAACUCUGAUGCAGCGACGCCGCGUGAACGAAGAAGGCUUUCGAGUCGUAAAGUUCUUUUAUAUGGGAAGAUAAUGACGGUACCAUAAGAAAAAGCCCCGGCUAACUACGUGCCAGCAGCCGCGGUAAUACGUAGGGGGCUAGCGUUGUCCGGAAUCACUGGGCGUAAAGGGUUCGCAGGCGGAAAUGCAAGUCAGGUGUAAAAGGCAGUAGCUUAACUACUGUAAGCAUUUGAAACUGCAUAUCUUGAGAAGAGUAGAGGUAAGUGGAAUUUUUAGUGUAGCGGUGAAAUGCGUAGAUAUAUGGAAGAACACCAAAGGCGAAGGCAGCUUACUGGGUCUAUACUGACGCUGAGGGACGAAAGCGUGGGGAGCAAACAGG
Molecule: ribosomal RNA, 403 nt
Filed under: Verrucomicrobiota bacterium
Lineage: Bacteria; Pseudomonadati; Verrucomicrobiota
Description: Verrucomicrobia bacterium partial 16S ribosomal RNA
Rfam family: Bacterial small subunit ribosomal RNA
Source: RNAcentral